Molecule: ribosomal RNA, 348 nt
Filed under: Pseudomonas aeruginosa
Lineage: Bacteria; Pseudomonadati; Pseudomonadota; Gammaproteobacteria; Pseudomonadales; Pseudomonadaceae
Description: bacterial SSU rRNA
Rfam family: Bacterial small subunit ribosomal RNA
Source: RNAcentral
UUAACUGGAGGGAAGGUGGGGAUGACGUCAAGUCAUCAUGGCCCUUACGGCCAGGGCUACACACGUGCUACAAUGGUCGGUACAAAGGGUUGCCAAGCCGCGAGGUGGAGCUAAUCCCAUAAAACCGAUCGUAGUCCGGAUCGCAGUCUGCAACUCGACUGCGUGAAGUCGGAAUCGCUAGUAAUCGUGAAUCAGAAUGUCACGGUGAAUACGUUCCCGGGCCUUGUACACACCGCCCGUCACACCAUGGGAGUGGGUUGCUCCAGAAGUAGCUAGUCUAACCGCAAGGGGGACGGUUACCACGGAGUGAUUCAUGACUGGGGUGAAGUCGUACAAUGAGGCCUGCCC